UUUGGCUCUGACUUUAGAGUCAAGAAGGGACUAUUGGAACAAUUGGUGCUGGUUAGCUGAAGCUAAGAAAUUAGUGGUGAUUGAGAAGAGACCAGCAUUACUGAGGUGAAAUCUUCUGGACAAUGUUUUCUGAGAACAGAAAGAAGCUGUGUUCCAGAGAUAGCCAAGGUUGUACUGUAGCUGGAGUUGGUAAUGUGUAAGAAUCACCCAGAUGAUACUGGUCCUAAAGGCAUGAAAGCUGUAUGAAGAGCAGCUGAGGCCUGUCACUGUGAGAGGACACAGAAGGCCGUUGGUGAAGGUGCAGCCCCAGUUGUAGUUGACUACCCAGGACUAAAGGGGUCAUGCAACAAAGUUGAGGCUUGGCACCAUGAAGAGAGCCUAUGAGAGGCUAUUGGUGAAGCAUAGUUUCUGUGGAAGAUCACAACAUAUUGGAGAUGCCAGUACCAUGGCAUGAUCACCAAGAAGAGCAGCAGCAAUGGAGUGGAGUCAACCAGAGCUUAGAGUGCUACAGAGGGCAAAGCUGGAGAUGGAGCCCUUUGGAGGAGUCCAGAAGAUCAUGCGUGUAUCCCAGACAUUGGAACAAAAAGUUGUAACAUUGAAGUUGCCUUGGAGACCCCACAAUGUUUGAGAUGCCAUAGCCCUGGUCUAUCUGCUGAGGAAAGCUGCUAAUGGAAUGGAACCAGCUCAGGAGAAAGAAGUUUGUUGCAGUCAGCAAAGAUGGAAAAGGUGUGGAAAUCUGAAGACCACUUUGACAUCAGACAUGGAGGUGUUUGUUUGGAGUUUGCUCAGCUGGCUUCCUGUCUUGCCUUGGGGUUUACAGUUAAGUGAUUGGACGCAUCUUAGAAGAGACUUUGAACAUAGGACUUUUAACUUUGUUAAGACUGCUAUAGACUAUGGGGACUUUGGAAGUUGGACCAAAUGUACUUUUUUAUUAUGCUAUGGCUAGGUAUGGCCCCCAUAGACUCAUGUAUUUGAACAAACCUAUGGGGGCCAGGGAAUGGAAUGUGAUGGUUUGUAUAUGCUUGGCCCAGGAAGUGUCACUAUUUGGAGGUGUGGCCUUGUUGAAGUAGGUGUGUCAUUGUAGCCGUGGGCUUUAAUACCCUAGUCCUAGCUGGCUGGAACCCAGUAUUCUGCUAGCAGCCUUCAGACGAAAAUGUAGAACUCUCAGCUCCUCCUGCACCAUGCCUGCCUGGAUGCUGCUAUGCUCCUACCUUGAAGAUAAUGGACUGAAUCUCUGAACCUGUAAGCCAGCCCCAAUUAAAUGUUGUCCUUUAUAAGACUUGACUUGGUUAUGGUGUCUGUUACAGCAGUAAAACCCUAACUAAGACAUAUGCCAUAUCUAUUUAUAAGGACUUUGGACGAGCACAGAAAGGAACUUACCAGAGUCUCUUUGUACUUCGUUCACGUAGGGCAGACAUAGUCACCAAGAGGCCCUCCAAAACCACAAUUUGCCCUCCUGGAUGACUGAGCUGUUCUUUAUAGGCCCCAUGGCCAGGGCUAUUUUCAGGCAUGGUGUAGUUUCAGUUUGAAGGCAAUUGCUCUUUUUGAUUACACUCUGUUUCUGUCUACGGAGGGGAGCCACCGAAGAACUUAAGUUGAUUUGAAGUCUAAAUUCUUGCAGUGCCGACACUUCCUUGUAGGCACCAAAUAGAGAACAUUUAGUUACUGUCGCUGUGCUGCGCAGUCUGCAUUUGGACUGCACACAAAGAAGCCGUCCUGUGUGCUGUUGUGUUUGUCAAUGGGGAAUUUUGCCAGAUGCUGCACUCUGAGCAGAAAGUGAUACGGGUAUGUAUUUACACGCAUGCGCAUUUACACUUUGGAAUCUAAGACUUCUUUCAAGCUCCAGUUGUGUGUGUAAGACUCUGAGCUGAAAAUGGCCUCUGGGCAAGUGUAGAUCAUCUGAGCUGAGGACCUUUUGGUUGAAAACCAACGUCCACUUUUAUACAUUGUUGCGAAAAAGAUGCACCGCCUUUAAUAUUGUCACUUCAUUUCUCAUUUUUUUGAAAAUAAUCAAUUGUUAGUACUUUGCAGCAGGGAUUAAUAAACUUUGCCCAUACAGGGAUGGGUUG
RNAcentral lists this long non-coding RNA (2069 nucleotides) under Mus musculus (house mouse). RNAcentral describes it as "long non-coding RNA chr2:76473713-76475782". Lineage: Eukaryota; Metazoa; Chordata; Mammalia; Rodentia; Muridae. The record is from RNAcentral.